UCCGUAGGUGACCUGCGGAGGGAUCAUUACCGAGUUUACAACUCCCAAACCCCUGUGAACAUACCAAUUGUUGCCUCGGCGGAUCAGCCCGCUCCCGGUAAAACGGGACGGCCCGCCAGAGGACCCCUAAACUCUGUUUCUAUAUGUAACUUCUGAGUAAAACCAUAAAUAAAUCAAAACUUUCAACAACGGAUCUCUUGGUUCUGGCAUCGAUGAAGAACGCAGCAAAAUGCGAUAAGUAAUGUGAAUUGCAGAAUUCAGUGAAUCAUCGAAUCUUUGAACGCACAUUGCGCCCGCCAGUAUUCUGGCGGGCAUGCCUGUUCGAGCGUCAUUUCAACCCUCAAGCCCCCGGGUUUGGUGUUGGGGAUCGGCGAGCCCUUGCGGCAAGCCGGCCCCGAAAUCUAGUGGCGGUCUCGCUGCAGCUUCCAUUGCGUAGUAGUAAAACCCUCGCAACUGGUACGCGGCGCGGCCAAGCCGUUAAACCCCCAACUUCUGAAUGUUGACCUCGGAUCAGGUAGGAAUACCCGCUGAACUUAAGCAUAUCAAUAAGCGGAGGA
Molecule: ribosomal RNA, 557 nt
Filed under: Fusarium sp. Salicorn ZJN2
Lineage: Eukaryota; Fungi; Ascomycota; Sordariomycetes; Hypocreales; Nectriaceae
Description: eukaryotic LSU rRNA
Rfam family: 5.8S ribosomal RNA (bases 178-331)
Source: RNAcentral